Triticum aestivum (bread wheat) is the source of this 3134-nucleotide long non-coding RNA. RefSeq lists it as uncharacterized. NCBI's taxonomy places the organism in Eukaryota, Viridiplantae, Streptophyta, Magnoliopsida, Poales, Poaceae. The transcript is spliced from 5 exons. The record is from RefSeq and is a predicted model, not a curated record.
CCGGCCACCCAUCCUCAACUAAAAAAACUCUUUCUCUUCCUCCCAUGCCACACACUCUCCCACCUAAACCUAAACCUAGGUCACCUGCCGCCGCCGGCCCCUGACUUGCCGGCCGAUUUGCUCGCGCUACCGCCUCUCCCACCACCAACGGCGCCUCCCAAAGCAGGAGAUCCACCGCGACCGAAGCAGGUCAGGAGGCGGCCCUGGCGCACCUAGAUCGGCCAGCGCCGUCCGACAUCGAGCUCCUCUGCUCCCAGCGCCAGAUCCACCUAUGGCUCCAUCUCCACAACCACGCACCGGCAGCCGCCAUGGAAGGUGCUCUAUGUGCUUGCUUCUUCCCUUCCGGGGACGUCGCUACUCUGACGCCAUGGACAAAUGAUUACAAAAGGUUGAUGCAAACCAGCUCCAGAAUGAGCUCAAGGCAUAGAGGAAGAAUGAGGAGGAGGAGAUGAGCACACUUCUGAACCACUACCUCCAUUUCUGUGCAGUUCUAGAAGGAGCUCAAACAUAUUUCUCAUGCCUCUGAAUUUCCUUUUUCUUGUACUGGAUAUCUUCUUGUUCUUUCACUCCUGACCAGUAGACUUCUAAUCUAGGUGCUCAUUAUUUCUACUUGUUUGUUGUCUCAGGGAUCACAAGUUUAAUGUUUACUAAAUCAAGAAACCUUCUGAAUCUGCUAACAUAGCCUCCAUUUACUCUCUGCUCAAGUCUGUUUGUGGCAUAUCUUAUUUUAACUUCUGUUUUAGUCUGCUCAAGUGGAGAUCUCCGUAAACUUCAGAAAUCAUAGUCACGAAAUUGUAGGGAUAAAAGGGGUAAUGGAAAAUUGCAUUUCUCUAGUCUCAGUUUGUUCUUCCUUGGCGCCCUACUAUUUACGUUUUUUUCUAUUUGGUAUGUAUAUUCGUAAUGAAUGUCCACUUCUCCUAUCUAUAUUUUCAUAACUAUGUUUCCUAAUUAUACUACUAAUUCACAUGAAGUUGCUUGGUGGAUAGUGCAGUUUUAACCUGCUGCUUCUCGAUAAAAGUUGUUGACAUGAGGCCCUCUGGGGAAGUAGGCGGCUCGUCCCAGCCUAAGUUGCGCGGAUACUUCAAAAGGCGGGCGUAUCCAGCCGGAUACUGCCCCGAUACUGCCCGAUACGUAUUCCGCUGAAGAACUUGGCUAUGACAUGCAGAGAGAUGAAAUAUUUGUCAGAGCACAUACACGUAAAAUUGGAGUUCCUACCGCACAAGCGGAGACACUAAUUAAACAACCUGAAGAAGCAGCUGAACCACCAACAACACUUGCAAUGGAAAUUCAAUUUCAUCGACAAGAUGAACAAGUUUCUACUCUACUAGGGUGAACCAUCAAUUUCAUCAAUAACUAAACACAUGUAGUGCAGUUUGUAGUGUCAUUAUAAAUAGAUGAUGCAUGAGGCUACUAGAGUAUCUAGUUUCUAUCGGAAAUAGAUAAGAAUUAAGGGCACGAUAAGGUGAUACUAAAUCUGGGCUAUAGUAGAACAUAGAAUGUUUGGUUUCUACGUUUAUACAGGGCCGUCCAAAGGCCUAUGCGGGCUGUGCGACCGCACAGGGCCCCCAAAUUCCAAGGGGCCCCCGAUUUUGGGCCAGUGUCUAGUGUAUUUUUCGUGUUGGGCCCUUUUAUCACAACUAGCACAGACAUAGGCCUGCCCAGCUAGUCCCUGACUCUCUCAAAUUGGGCCAGCCCCUCAAUCUCCCAAAAUAAGCCUUUCCUUAAUCCCGAUCGACACAGCCCGCCGAUCGCGAUCUAUCGAUCUAGCCCCGCGCGGUCUGCUCGGAAGAGAAAAAAGGGCCCUCACGGAGCUGAACCGACAAAGUGCGGCGGCGGCGGCGGCGCACGGAGACGGAGCGUCGUUGUCACUUUGCUUCCUGCCCGGAGAAACAACCCGCUGCACUGCCCGCAUGAAGAAUUCAUUCCACAGUUUUUUUUGUCGCCGGUAUCCGAUCCGAGGCCUAGGUGAGGACAUCCGCGAUCUGUCCACAAGGUGUGCUCAAACUGAUUCCCUAUUUACUUUAGUAUUUUGUCCUGUUGAAUGAUUAGUGUGCAUACGCUUCAGUUUAUCAAUCCAUUUGUUUAGAGAAGAUAUAUAAUACUACUAGGCUAGUUGACCAAGUUGUCACACACCAAUUUCCAAGCUAGUUGCUCGUUUCAAAUUUAGAGUACAGUUUUUUUAUCUUGGUACUGUAUAAGCCUAUAAUUUAUGGAGUGUUUGAAUUCAUUCUUUUUUCUUUUUAUAAGAAAACAUCUAUUCUAGAAUUUUUAGGGCCUUAUUUUGCAUUUCGCACCGGGCCCCCAAAUUCCUGGAGACGGCCCUGCGUUUAUAUGUGUGCAACGCAACCGCCAUUGUCAUGCAAAUAGUACGCAGGCUAAAUGUGUGAUUUAGUACGCAAGCUAAACUGAAUGUUUGCUUGCAUAUUUGUUCAAAUACGGUCAGUGGUACAAUUGUUUGUCAGUGUGCAAUUCCUAGUAGCUAAACUGAAGCUUGCUCUCUCUUAAAGAUCAGCCACAAAAAAAAUACUUGACCAUUAUUUUUCUGCGAAGCAUAUUUAGUUCAGUCCACAUGUUAGGAUUACACCUGACUCCUUUUUUAGGUAAACAUAGGUGUCGUAGCCUAUUGCAGUAUCUGUUUAGUUUUAGGAUUUUAACCAUAGCAGAAAACAACAUAUGCGAACCCCUAUUGUAUACCACAAAAUGUUUCAUAGCAUGCAUGAACCGCAACACAAGCGAUGUCUUUUGAAUUGACUUGUUUUCACCAAGUACACUAUUACAUAUAUGACUGCUGGUACAUGUAUAUGUAAUAAUGCUUGUUUCUUAGACCUUUGGACUCGAAGGCAACUCAUAAAUUUGAAUACAUUGUAUUAUUUCAAAGAUUGCUGAAACAUAUGAGUUCUUUUGUAGGGACAAAUGGUAGAAAGUAGCAAGUCCACUGGCUGAUUGAAGAUGUUCUCGAGAUUGCUUUUGUUGAGAACAUGGAUGGCACAUUUUGUUCAUACGGAAGUUGAUUUGGUUUGGCAAUUGAAGAGUUGGUCUUCCAUAAUAUUCUGUAGCAGUAGCAGUCCAGUGAACAAGCACUUGGUCUCUUAUGAACUUUGGCCAUUAUGUUUGUAACAUGCCUCUCUUGUAUA